This 469-nucleotide ribosomal RNA is filed under the name uncultured bacterium. RNAcentral describes it as "bacterial SSU rRNA". It matches the Rfam family "Bacterial small subunit ribosomal RNA", at positions 28 to 507 of the family's 1533-position model. The record is from RNAcentral.
GAUGAACGCUAGCGGCAGGCCUAAUACAUGCAAGUCGAACGGUGUUUUUGGACAUAGUGGCGCACGGGUGCGUAACACGUAUGCAACCUACCUUACAUUGGGGGAUAGCCUUUCGAAAGGGAGAUUAAUACCGCAUAAGACAGUAGUUUGGCAUCAGACAGCUGUUAAAGAUUUAUCGAUGUAAGCUGGGCAUGCGUCCAAUUAGUUAGUUGGCGAGGUAAUGGCUCACCAAGACGAUGAUUGGUAGGGGAACUGAGAGGUCAAUCCCCCACACUGGCACUGAGAUACGGGCCAGACUCCUACGGGAGGCAGCAGUAGGGAAUAUUGGGCAAUGGACGCAAGUUUGACCCAGCCAUGCCGCGUGCAGGAAGAAGGCGUUAUGCGUUGUAAACUGCUUUUAUACAGGAAGAAACGACUCUUGCGAGAGGCAUUGACGGUACUGUAUGAAUAAGCACCGGCUAACUCCGUG